CACGUAAGGGGCGAGCGUUGUUCGGAAUUAUUGGGCGUAAAGGGCGCGUAGGCGGUCCUGUAAGCCCGGCGUGAAGACCUGGAGCUCAACUCCGGGCCUGCGCUGGGACCUGCGGGACUAGAGUCAUGGAAGGGAAGUUGGAAUUCCAGGUGUAGGGGUGAAAUCUGUAGAUAUCUGGAAGAAAACCGGUGGCGAAGGCGAACUUCUGGCCAAUGACUGACGCUGAGGCGCGAAAGUGCCGGGAGCAAACAGG
This 253-nucleotide ribosomal RNA is filed under the name uncultured bacterium. RNAcentral describes it as "partial 16S ribosomal RNA". It matches the Rfam family "Bacterial small subunit ribosomal RNA", at positions 524 to 776 of the family's 1533-position model. The record is from RNAcentral.